GUUCGGUCCCUAUCUGCCGUGGGCGCUGGAGAAUUGAGGGGGGCUGCUCCUAGUACGAGAGGACCGGAGUGGACGCAUCACUGGUGUUCGGGUUGUCAUGCCAAUGGCACUGCCCGGUAGCUAAAUGCGGAAGAGAUAAGUGCUGAAAGCAUCUAAGCACGAAACUUGCCCCGAGAUGAGUUCUCCCUGAGACUUUAAGUCUCCUGAAGGAACGUUGAAGACGACGACGUUGAUAGGCCGGGUGUGUAAGCGCAGCGAUGCGUUGAGCUAACCGGUACUAAUGAACCGUGAGGCUUAACCUUACAACGCCGAAG
Molecule: ribosomal RNA, 314 nt
Filed under: Klebsiella pneumoniae HE12
Lineage: Bacteria; Pseudomonadati; Pseudomonadota; Gammaproteobacteria; Enterobacterales; Enterobacteriaceae
Description: bacterial LSU rRNA
Rfam family: Bacterial large subunit ribosomal RNA
Source: RNAcentral